RNAcentral lists this ribosomal RNA (499 nucleotides) under uncultured Glomeromycotina. RNAcentral describes it as "partial small subunit ribosomal RNA". It matches the Rfam family "Eukaryotic small subunit ribosomal RNA", at positions 591 to 1092 of the family's 1831-position model. The record is from RNAcentral. Lineage: Eukaryota; Fungi; Glomeromycota.
CCAAUAGCGUAUAUUAAAGUUGUUGCAGUUAAAAAGCUCGUAGUUGAAUUUCGGGAUCAAGGAAUCGGUCAUGCCUCGGUAUGUACUGGUUUUAUUGGUUCUCACCUUCUAAAGAACCAUAAUGUCAUUCAUUUGAUGUUAUGGGGAAUUAGGACUGUUACCUUGAAAAAAUUAGAGUGUUUAAAGCAGGCUUACGCUUGCAUACAUUAGCAUGGAAUAAUGAAAUAGGACAUCAGAUUCUAUUUUGUUGGUUUCUAGGAUCGAUGUAAUGAUUAAUAGGGAUAGUUGGGGGCAUUAGUAUUCAAUUGUCAGAGGUGAAAUUCUUGGAUUUAUUGAAGACUAACUACUGCGAAAGCAUUUGCCAAGGAUGUUUUCAUUAAUCAAGAACGAAAGUUAGGGGAUCGAAGACGAUCAGAUACCGUCGUAGUCUUAACCAUAAACUAUGCCGACUAGGGAUCGGAUGAUGUUAAUUUUAUAAUGACUCAUUCGGCACCUUACG